RNAcentral lists this ribosomal RNA (411 nucleotides) under Bemisia tabaci. Its description in RNAcentral is "partial 16S ribosomal RNA". Lineage: Eukaryota; Metazoa; Arthropoda; Insecta; Hemiptera; Aleyrodidae. The record is from RNAcentral.
UUUUAGAUAAAUUCUGCUCAAUGAGUAAGUUAAAUAGCUGCAGUAAAUUAACUGUACUAAGGUAGCAUAAUAAGUUGCUUUAUAAUUAAAAGCUUGAAUGAAAGAAAUAAUGUGAAAGAAGCUUUUUAAACUAAAAUAGUGAAAAUUAAUAUUUAAGUGAAAAAUCUUAAAUAGAAUCAAAAGACAAGAAGACCCUUUAGAACUUUACAAAUUGAUUUAAUAUCAUUUAGUUAAUUUGUUAAAUUGGGGAGAUUUUUAAAUAAAUAAAUCUUUAGAUAUAAAAAAAUGAUUUAAAUCAGAUUAAAUUAUCCAAAUGUGAAAUAAAACAAGUUACCUAAGGGAUAACAGCGCAAAAUUUUUGAGAAGUUCUCAUUUACAAAAUAAAUUGCGACCUCGAUGUUGGAUUAAGAA